AGGACUAACGCUGGCGGCGUGCCUAACACAUGCAAGUCGAACGAGAAAGUGGGAGCAAUCCCACGAGUAAAGUGGCGCACGGGUGAGUAACACGUGACUAACCUACCCUUGAGUGGGGGAUAACCUAGGGAAACCUGGGCUAAUACCGCAUAAUACCUACGGGUCAAAGGAGCAAUUCGCUUUAGGAGGGGGUCGCGGCAGAUUAGUUAGUUGGCGGGGUAAUGGCCCACCAAGACAGUGAUCUGUAUCCGGCCUGAGAGGGCGCACGGACACACUGGAACUGAAACACGGUCCAGACUCCUACGGGAGGCAGCAGUGGGGAAUUUUGCGCAAUGGGGAAACCCUGACGCAGCAACGCCGCGUGGAGGAUGAAGCCCUUGGGCGUAAACUCCUUUCGAUCGGGAAGAUAAUGACGGUACCGGAAGAAGAAGCCCCGGCUAACUUCGUGCCAGCAGCCGC
Molecule: ribosomal RNA, 459 nt
Filed under: uncultured bacterium
Lineage: Bacteria
Description: SSU rRNA
Rfam family: Bacterial small subunit ribosomal RNA
Source: RNAcentral